Molecule: ribosomal RNA, 492 nt
Filed under: uncultured bacterium
Lineage: Bacteria
Description: partial 16S ribosomal RNA
Rfam family: Bacterial small subunit ribosomal RNA
Source: RNAcentral
AGUGAACGCUGGCGGUAGGCCUAACACAUGCAAGUCGAACGGCAGCACAGUAAGAGCUUGCUCUUACGGGUGGCGAGUGGCGGACGGGUGAGGAAUACAUCGGAAUCUACUUUUUCGUGGGGGAUAACGUGGGGAAACUUACGCUAAUACCGCAUACGACCUACGGGUGGAAGCAGGGGAUCUUCGGACCUUGCGCGAUUGAAUGAGCCGAUGUCGGAUUAGCUAGUUGGCGGGGUAAAGGCCCACCAAGGCGACGAUCCGUAGCUGGUCUGAGAGGAUGAUCAGCCACACUGGAACUGAGACACGGUCCAGACUCCUACGGGAGGCAGCAGUGGGGAAUAUUGGACAAUGGGCGCAAGCCUGAUCCAGCCAUACCGCGUGGGUGAAGAAGGCCUUCGGGUUGUAAAGCCCUUUUGUUGGGAAAGAAAAGCAGCAGGUUAAUACCCCGCUGUUCUGACGGUACCCAAAGAAUAAGCACCGGCUAACUUCGUG